CCGAUUGCUGACGCGGAGGGACAUUA
RNAcentral lists this ribosomal RNA (26 nucleotides) under Trichoderma macrofasciculatum. RNAcentral describes it as "Trichoderma sp. GZ-2019a partial 18S ribosomal RNA". Lineage: Eukaryota; Fungi; Ascomycota; Sordariomycetes; Hypocreales; Hypocreaceae. The record is from RNAcentral.